This 364-nucleotide ribosomal RNA is filed under the name uncultured bacterium. RNAcentral describes it as "partial 16S ribosomal RNA". It matches the Rfam family "Bacterial small subunit ribosomal RNA", at positions 338 to 699 of the family's 1533-position model. The record is from RNAcentral.
CCUACGGGAGGCAGCAGUGAGGAAUAUUGGUCAAUGGACGGAAGUCUGAACCAGCCAUGCCGCGUGCAGGAAGACGGCUCUCUGAGUUGUAAACUGCAUUUGUACAAGGGUAAACCUGAAUAUGUGUAUUCAGCUGCACGUACUGUACGAGUAAGGAUCGGCUAACUCCGUGACAGCAGCCGCGGUAAUACGGAGGAUCCAAGCGUUAUCCGGAUUUAUUGGGUUUAAGGGGGGCGUAGGCGGAUUGAGAAGUUAGAGGUGAAAGGCCCGGGCUUAACUCGGGAACUGCCUCUAGUACUGUGGGUCUAGAGAGUAGGUGCGGUAGGCGGAAUGUAUGGUGUAGCGGUGAAAUGCUUAGAGAUCA